AUUGAACGCUGGCGGAAUGCUUUACACAUGCAAGUCGAGCGGCAGCGCGGGGCAACCUGGCGGCGAGCGGCGAACGGGUGAGUAAUGCAUCGGAACAUGUCCAUUCGUGGGGGAUAGCCCGGCGAAAGCCGGAUUAAUACCGCAUACGCCCGAGAGGGGAAAGUGGGGGACCGCAAGGCCUCACGCGAUUGGGUUGGCCGAUGUCCGAUUAGCUAGUUGGCGGGGUAAAGGCCCACCAAGGCGAUGAUCGGUAGCUGGUCUGAGAGGAUGAUCAGCCACACUGGGACUGAGACACGGCCCAGACUCCUACGGGAGGCAGCAGUGGGGAAUCUUGCGCAAUGCGCGAAAGCGUGACGCAGCAACGCCGCGUGAGGGAAGACGGCCU
This 385-nucleotide ribosomal RNA is filed under the name uncultured bacterium. RNAcentral's name for it is "bacterial SSU rRNA". It matches the Rfam family "Bacterial small subunit ribosomal RNA", at positions 29 to 417 of the family's 1533-position model. The record is from RNAcentral.